GAUGAACGCUGGCGGCGUGCUUAACACAUGCAAGUCGAACGGGAAAUACUUUAUUGAAACUUCGGUGGAUUUAAUUUAUUUCUAGUGGCGGACGGGUGAGUAACGCGUGGGUAACCUGCCUUAUACUGGGGGAUAACAGCCAGAAAUGACUGCUAAUACCGCAUAAGCGCACAGAACCGCAUGGUUCGGUGUGAAAAACUCCGGUGGUAUAAGAUGGACCCGCGUUGGAUUAGCUAGUUGGCAGGGCAGCGGCCUACCAAGGCGACGAUCCAUAGCCGGCCUGAGAGGGUGAACGGCCACAUUGGGACUGAGACACGGCCCAGACUCCUACGGGAGGCAGCAGUGGGGAAUAUUGCACAAUGGGGGAAACCCUGAUGCAGCGACGCCGCGUGAAGGAAGAAGUAUCUCGGUAUGUAAACUUCUAUCAGCAGGGAAGAUAAUGACGGUACCUGACUAAGAAGCCCCGG
RNAcentral lists this ribosomal RNA (467 nucleotides) under uncultured bacterium. RNAcentral's name for it is "bacterial SSU rRNA". It matches the Rfam family "Bacterial small subunit ribosomal RNA", at positions 28 to 496 of the family's 1533-position model. The record is from RNAcentral.